UGGGGAAUUUUGGACAAUGGGCGAAAGCCUGAUCCAGCAAUGCCGCGUGUGUGAAGAAGGCCUUCGGGUUGUAAAGCACUUUUGUCCGGAAAGAAAUCCUUGGCUCUAAUACAGUCGGGGGAUGACGGUACCGGAAGAAUAAGCACCGGCUAACUACGUGCCAGCAGCCGCGGUAAUACGUAGGGUGCAAGCGUUAAUCGGAAUUACUGGGCGUAAAGCGUGCGCAGGCGGUUUGCUAAGACCGAUGUGAAAUCCCCGGGCUCAACCUGGGAACUGCAUUGGUGACUGGCAGGCUAGAGUAUGGCAGAGGGGGGUAGAAUUCCACGUGUAGCAGUGAAAUGCGUAGAGAUGUGGAGGAAUACCGAUGGCGAAGGCAGCCCCCUGGGCAAUACUGACGCUCAUGCACGAAAGCGUGGGGAGCAAACAGGAUUAGAUACCCUGGUAGUCCACGCCCUAAACGAUGUCAACUAGUUGUUGGGGAUUCAUUUCCUUAGUAACGUAGCUAACGCGUGAAGUUGACCGCCUGGGGAGUACGGUCGCAAGAUUAAAACUCAAAGGAAUUGAC
RNAcentral lists this ribosomal RNA (565 nucleotides) under uncultured bacterium. Its description in RNAcentral is "partial 16S ribosomal RNA". It matches the Rfam family "Bacterial small subunit ribosomal RNA", at positions 355 to 914 of the family's 1533-position model. The record is from RNAcentral.